CGAUUAUUAGAUACCCUGGUAGUCCACGCCGUAAACGAUGGAUACUAGCUGUUGGGAGCAAUCUCAGUGGCUAAGCGAAAGUGAUAAGUAUCCCACCUGGGGAGUACGUUCGCAAGAAUGAAACUCAAAGGAAUUGACGGGGGCCCGCACAAGCGGUGGAGCAUGUGGUUUAAUUCGAUGAUACGCGAGGAACCUUACCAAGGCUUAAAUGUAGUUUGACCGAUUUGGAAACAGAUCUUUCGCAAGACAAAUUACAAGGUGCUGCAUGGUUGUCGUCAGCUCGUGCCGUGAGGUGUCAGGUUAAGUCCUAUAACGAGCGCAACCCCUGUUGUUAGUUGCCAGCGAGUCAAGUCGGGAACUCUAACAAGACUGCCAGUGUAAACUGUGAGGAAGGUGGGGAUGACGUCAAAUCAUCACGGCCCUUACGCCUUGGGCUACACACGUGCUACAAUGGCCGG
RNAcentral lists this ribosomal RNA (458 nucleotides) under uncultured Flavobacterium sp. RNAcentral's name for it is "bacterial SSU rRNA". It matches the Rfam family "Bacterial small subunit ribosomal RNA", at positions 769 to 1237 of the family's 1533-position model. The record is from RNAcentral. Lineage: Bacteria; Pseudomonadati; Bacteroidota; Flavobacteriia; Flavobacteriales; Flavobacteriaceae.